Molecule: ribosomal RNA, 433 nt
Filed under: uncultured bacterium
Lineage: Bacteria
Description: partial 16S ribosomal RNA
Rfam family: Bacterial small subunit ribosomal RNA
Source: RNAcentral
AACGAACGCUGGCGGCAUGCCUAACACAUGCAAGUCGAACGAGACCUUCGGGUCUAGUGGCGCACGGGUGCGUAACGCGUGGGAACCUGCCCUUAGGUUCGGAAUAACUCCCCGAAAGGGGUGCUAAUACCGGAUAAUGUCUUCGGACCAAAGAUUUAUCGCCUUUGGAUGGGCCCGCGUUGGAUUAGCUAGUUGGUAGGGUAAAAGCCUACCAAGGCGACGAUCCAUAGCUGGUCUGAGAGGAUGAUCAGCCACACUGGGACUGAGACACGGCCCAGACUCCUACGGGAGGCAGCAGUGGGGAAUAUUGGAAAAUGGGCGAAAGCCUGAUCCAGCAAUGCCGCGUGAGUGAUGAAGGCCGUAGGGUUGUAAAGCUCUUUUACCCGGGAUGAUAAUGACAGUACCGGGAGAAUAAGCUCCGGCUAACUCCGUG